RNAcentral lists this ribosomal RNA (244 nucleotides) under uncultured bacterium. Its description in RNAcentral is "partial 16S ribosomal RNA". It matches the Rfam family "Bacterial small subunit ribosomal RNA", at positions 533 to 776 of the family's 1533-position model. The record is from RNAcentral.
UGCAAGUGUUAUCCGGAAUCACUGGGCGUAACGCGUCUGUAGGUGGUUUAAUAAGUCAACUGUUAAAUCUUGAGGCUCAACCUCAAAAUCGCAGUCGAAACUAUUAGGCUAGAGUAUAGUAGGGGUAAAGGGAAUUUCCAGUGGAGCGGUGAAAUGCGUAGAGAUUGGAAAGAACACCGAUGGCGAAGGCACUUUACUGGGCUAUUACUAACACUCAGAGACGAAAGCUAGGGUAGCAAAUGGG